Molecule: long non-coding RNA, 709 nt
Organism: Dermacentor andersoni
Lineage: Eukaryota; Metazoa; Arthropoda; Arachnida; Ixodida; Ixodidae
Source: RefSeq, a predicted model, not a curated record
UAAGUGCUAGAAGAAUGUCUUCGUUUUCAUGAGCUAAACCUCUGGCCCUUAUUAUUUCUUUUUCACAGUAUAGCCUAUACUUCACAGCCAUCUGCCGCAUAGACGCAGUUAGCGUCAAGUAAAAAAAAAAGAAGAAGAAGAAGAAGGACUCCAUCUUUCUUUUUUCCUUGAACACUACUCGCAACACAUUUUCUCUCGUUGCGUCUUCAAAAUUAUCUACAGAGGCAAGUGGAUUCAUACGAUUCGUCUGCAACGAAUUUUUACGGGGGCCGAAUCGAGGCUACGAAAGGAUCGACGCUCCCUUGGUGCCAUGACGCCGUCACCGACUCGGAGGUGCCUCGACCGGAAGCUCUUGACUGGGCGUGGAGCGUCAAAGGGCCUGCUCGCCUUCUUCCUAGUCGCGAUCACGUUGUCGACACUGCUUCUGCAGGCGACCGCUACGCGGAUUUGCGAGCCGAACGCAUGUGCGACGCGGUGCCUAGGAAGAGGGUUCGACAAUGGCAUGUGCAGCACCCACCAGGAUUAUUUGAACAACGGCCAGGCACUGUGCCGCUGCGCGUACAUACUCGGAUCUGCGCCCAAGGUGCUUCGACGCGAAAUGUCUGAGAAAGCGGCGGACAGGGGCACCUAAACUGGACACGGAAAUAGCUCGCAAGUAGCUACAACCGCGAGCCUAUGAGGUCAAAUAAAAGUUCUUGGAAGUUCCGGA